Molecule: ribosomal RNA, 435 nt
Filed under: uncultured bacterium
Lineage: Bacteria
Description: partial 16S ribosomal RNA
Rfam family: Bacterial small subunit ribosomal RNA
Source: RNAcentral
AGCGAACGCUGGCGGCAGGCUUAACACAUGCAAGUCGAACGGGCAUCUUCGGAUGUCAGUGGCAGACGGGUGAGUAACACGUGGGAACGUACCCUUCGGUUCGGAAUAACUCAGGGAAACUUGAGCUAAUACCGGAUACGCCCUUUUGGGGAAAGGUUUACUGCCGAAGGAUCGGCCCGCGUCUGAUUGGCUUGUUGGUGGGGUAACGGCCUACCAAGGCGCCGAUCAGUAGCUGGUCUGAGAGGAUGAUCAGCCACACUGAGACGGAGACACGGCCCAGACUCCUCCGGGAGGGAGCAGAGAGGGAUAUUGGACAAUGGGCGGAAGCCUGAGCCUGCCAUGCCGCGUGAGUGAUGAAGGCCGUGGGGUUGUAAAGCUCUUUUGUCCGGGACGAUAAUGACGGUACCGGAAGAAUAAGCCCCGGCUAACUUCGUG